UACGUAGGGUGCGAGCGUUGUCCGGAUUUACUGGGCGUAAAGGGCGUGCAGGCGGUCUGUUAAGUGCAGGGUGAAAGCUCCCGGCUCAACUGGGAGAGGUCCUUGCAUACUGGCGGACUUGAGGGGGGUAGAGGAAAGUGGAAUUCCCGGUGUAGUGGUGAUAUGCGUAGAUAUCGGGAGGAACACCUGUGGCGAAGGCGGCUUUCUGGGCCCUACCUGACGCUGAGACGCGAAAGCGUGGGGAGCGAACCGG
This 253-nucleotide ribosomal RNA is filed under the name uncultured bacterium. RNAcentral's name for it is "partial 16S ribosomal RNA". It matches the Rfam family "Bacterial small subunit ribosomal RNA", at positions 524 to 776 of the family's 1533-position model. The record is from RNAcentral.